AAGUGGUUCCGCGCCGACAAUGUAGCGGGGCUCAAGUACACCGCCGAAGCUGUGGCAUUCACAUAAUAACCCCGCCUAAACUUUCGGGUUUGGGUGCAGGUGUGUGGAUGGGUAGGGGAGCGUCGUGCCGCGGGUGAAGCAGCCGAGUGAUCGAGUUGUGGACGCGGUGCGAGUGAGAAUGCAGGCAUGAGUAGCGCAAGAAGGGUGAGAAACCCUUCCGCCGGAUGACCAAGGGUUCCAGGGCCAGGCUAAUCCGCCCUGGGUGAGUCGGGACCUAAGGCGAGGCCGAGAGGCGUAGUCGAUGGACAACGGGUUGAUAUUCCCGUACCCGCGAAAGAGCGUCCCUGAUGAACCUCGCUGUGCUAACCACCCGAGCUCUGGAAGGUCUUCGGACUGACUGGGGGGAGCGUGGGAACCUGGUGGGUAGUAGUCAAGCGAUGGGGUGACGCAGGAAGGUAGCUGAUCCCGGCCGGUGGUUGUGCCGGGGUAAGCGUGUAGGCCGGUGUGUAGGCAAAUCCGCACACCAUGAAGGCUGAGACGUGAUGCCGAGCCGAUUCAGGUGAAGUCAGUGAUCCUAUGCUGCCGAGAAAAGCCUCUAGCGAGUUCUUAGCGGCCCGUACCCCAAACCGACACAGGUGGUCAGGUAGAGAAUACCAAGGCGACGGGCGAACUGUGGUUAAGGAACUCGGCAAAUUACCCCCGUAACUUCGGGAGAAGGGGGGCCGGACACGUGAAGCAACACGCUUGUGGAGCGUGGUAUGGCCGCAGAGACCAGGGGGAAGCGACUGUUUACUAAAAACACAGGUCCAUGCGAAGAAGUAAUUCGAUGUAUAUGGACUGACGCCUGCCCGGUGCUGGAACGUUAAGGGGACCUGUUAGCUCUUCGGGGCGAAGCGGAGAACUUAAGCGCCAGUAAACGGCGGUGGUAACUAUAACCAUCCUAAGGUAGCGAAAUUCCUUGUCGGGUAAGUUCCGACCUGCACGAAUGGCGUAACGACUUCCCUACUGUCUCAACCACAGGCCCGGCGAAAUUGCAGUACGAGUAAAGAUGCUCGUUACGCGCGGCAGGACGGAAAGACCCCGGGACCUUUACUAUAGCUUGACAUUGGUAUCUGAGUUAAUUUGUGUAGGAUAGGUGGGAGCCUGUGAAGCUCGUACGCCAGUACGGGUGGAGGCAAUCUUGAAAUACCACUCUGGUUGAUUCGGGUAUCUAACUUCGGACCGUGAUCCGGUUCAGGGACAGUGUCUGGUGGGUAGUUUAACUGGGGCGGUUGCCUCCUAAAGAGUAACGGAGGCGCCCAAAGGUUCCCUCAGCCUGGUUGGCAAUCAGGUGUUGAGUGUAAGUGCACAAGGGAGCUUGACUGUGAGACUGACAGGUCGAGCAGGGACGAAAGUCGGGACUAGUGAUCCGGCACCGGCAUGUGGAAGCGGUGUCGCUCAACGGAUAAAAGGUACCCCGGGGAUAACAGGCUGAUCUUCCCCAAGAGUCCAUAUCGACGGG
RNAcentral lists this ribosomal RNA (1501 nucleotides) under metagenome. RNAcentral describes it as "bacterial LSU rRNA". It matches the Rfam family "Bacterial large subunit ribosomal RNA", at positions 1151 to 2512 of the family's 2925-position model. The record is from RNAcentral.